Long non-coding RNA from Carya illinoinensis, 903 nucleotides. RefSeq lists it as uncharacterized. The transcript has 3 exons. NCBI's taxonomy places the organism in Eukaryota, Viridiplantae, Streptophyta, Magnoliopsida, Fagales, Juglandaceae. The record is from RefSeq and is a predicted model, not a curated record.
AUUAAAAAAAGGAAAAAAUCUACGCAACAGCCACUAUUUGGCUGCAUCUUUGCACGCAUGAGGUGGCCCAAGUAAAUUUCCCCUUUCUCCCUCACAGCUGCACGUUCCCUCUCUGUUUCACUCAUUUGAAAUUCACCCGUCCUCUCCUCCCACCCACACGCAUUUUCGAAAUUUCACUCCCCGCGUUCACCCCUUCCUCUACCCAGCGACUCGCGCCCUGCUUUCGCCCCUUUGCCUAGAGCCCCGCGGUCUCCAGUUCGUGGAUUCUCUUCUGCAGAUUAGUACUCCAGUUCGUGGCUGAUGAUCACCUCCCUUCGUUCGCCCAUGCACUCGUGCUUCUUCUUCCCCAGUUGGUGAGAUUUGUUUGGCCACCCUUUGCCCAGCAGCAGCUUCCCAGGAAAUUAUCAAGGUCUGCAACUAAAAGUAAAAGCUAAUCUUUUUUUGGUAUUCAUACCCAAGGAAGAUAGGACUAGCAUCUGAGCCAUGAAAACUCACGAGUCACCUACAUUUUUUUGUUGGUUGAAGUAGUUGUAUUUUAUUCGAAGCACAAUGGAAGUACUUCUUGUUGUAUACAUCAUUUGCUAGAGGAGAACAUUCGUACAAGAGAAAACGUAGUUUGGAAGAUGUGGGAUGACAUCUUGUGGCCCGAGUACGAAGUUCGAAAAAGGAAAGAUAAAAUGAGAGACAGAGAGACAACUCUUCCAAAGGAAAAGAGAAUUAUUGUGUUUGUACUGGAUUGUAUCUAUUGUAAUAGUUUUGGCUUAAUUCGGAUAAAUUGUAACAUGUAAAUAGAUGGGUAUGUUCUAUAUGGUUUCUGAAUGGACCAAAUGUAAUGGUACUCCCCCUAUGUUUUCUGUUUGUACUUGGACAACAAUUAACUUAUGAUGUUUUGGUUCCGAUAAA